This is a small nuclear RNA of Arvicola amphibius (Eurasian water vole), 105 nucleotides long. The record is from RefSeq and is a predicted model, not a curated record. Lineage: Eukaryota; Metazoa; Chordata; Mammalia; Rodentia; Cricetidae.
UGCUCACUUUGGUAACACUAAGCUAAAAGUGGAAACAUACAGAGAAGACUAGCAUGGCUGAUGUGCAGGGAUGACACGCAAAUUCGUGAAGUGUUCUGUAUUUAU